UGUCCAUUGCUGUGUCCAUGGAGCUGGUGUU
RNAcentral lists this non-coding RNA (31 nucleotides) under Mus musculus (house mouse). Lineage: Eukaryota; Metazoa; Chordata; Mammalia; Rodentia; Muridae. The record is from RNAcentral.